Molecule: ribosomal RNA, 490 nt
Filed under: uncultured bacterium
Lineage: Bacteria
Description: partial 16S ribosomal RNA
Rfam family: Bacterial small subunit ribosomal RNA
Source: RNAcentral
AUUGAACGCUGGCGGCAGGCCUAACACAUGCGAGUCGAACGGUAACAGGAAGACGCUUGCUUCUUUGCUGACGAGUGGCGGACGGGUGAGUAAUGUCUGGGAAACUGCCUGAUGGAGGGGGAUAACUACUGGAAACGGUAGCUAAUACCGCAUAACGUCGCAAGACCAAAGAGGGGGACCUUCGGGCCUCUUGCCAUCGGAUGUGCCCAGAUGGGAUUAGCUAGUAGGUGGGGUAACGGCUCACCUAGGCGACGAUCCCUAGCUGGUCUGAGAGGAUGACCAGCCACACUGGAACUGAGACACGGUCCAGACUCCUACGGGAGGCAGCAGUGGGGAAUAUUGCACAAAGGGCGCAAGCCUGAUGCAGCCAUGCCGCGUGUAUGAAGAAGGCCUUCGGGUUGUAAAGUACUUUCAGCGGGGAGGAAGGGAGUAAAGUUAAUACCUUUGCUCAUUGACGUUACCCGCAGAAGAAGCACCGGCUAACUCCGUG